UGGGGAAUAUUGCACAAUGGGCGGAAGCCUGAUGCAGCAACGCCGCGUGCGGGAUGACGGCCUUCGGGUUGUAAACCGCUUUCGCCUGUGACGAAGCGUGAGUGACGGUAAUGGGUAAAGAAGCACCGGCUAACUACGUGCCAGCAGCCGCGGUGAUACGUAGGGUGCGAGCGUUGUCCGGAUUUAUUGGGCGUAAAGGGCUCGUAGGUGGUUGAUCGCGUCGGAAGUGUAAUCUUGGGGCUUAACCCUGAGCGUGCUUUCGAUACGGGUUGACUUUAGGAAGGUAGGGGAGAAUGGAAUUCCUGGUGGAGCGGUGGAAUGCGCAGAUAUCAGGAGGAACACCAGUGGCGAAGGCGGUUCUCUGGGCCUUUCCUGACGCUGAGGAGCGAAAGCGUGGGGAGCGAACA
RNAcentral lists this ribosomal RNA (407 nucleotides) under uncultured bacterium. Its description in RNAcentral is "partial 16S ribosomal RNA". It matches the Rfam family "Bacterial small subunit ribosomal RNA", at positions 355 to 774 of the family's 1533-position model. The record is from RNAcentral.